CUAAUUCCUUUGUUCCUUUUGAUUCAACAACACUCCUCUGUCACCAUUUUCGAAACCCUAGCGCCGCAUACCCAUAUUCUUCAAAAAUCCUUUCUUCCCUGCAUCAUCUCUUCAUCUUCUUCGGUUUAUCUGGCGAUUCUCUAUCUUCGCUGCAUCAUCUCUUCAUCUUCUUCGGUUUAUCACUUCUGUUAUGAAGGUGUGUUUGAGAUUGAAUCUUAAUUGAAAAGGGUAUAAAUAUUUUACAUUUGGUUGGUUGUUGAAAACAAGGAGCUAACGGAAAAGAUCAAGAUCAAAUACCAAGGGAACAAGGGAAAUUAUGUUAUUUAUUAGAAAACAUAAAAAUAUAAAGGCUUGUGGGAAGACCGAUUACCAGUGGAGCUUUUCUCUGCUGAUGGUGUAGAUUAUCACAAAACUUGCUUCAAGUGCAGCCAUUGCAAAGCAAGCCAUGCUGUAACUAUUGGGACAUGUGGCAGCCCAACAUGGUGAUCAGUCUAACCCAAAAUACUGGCACUCUCGGAGCUGCACAGGGUCAGUUUUUACGAAACAUGUGAUGUUUUUUUUAUUUGGUUAUUUACCGAUUUACUGUGAAUGUAUGAGAAAAUGGUUAAAACGUAUAUACUUGGUUUGAUGUUUUGUUAUCGAGGUGGUAAAAAUGGUAGCGCGAGUACUAAUGCAAGCACUCCAAUCCAAGCAUGGGUACAAGGAUCUAUUGCGGUGUAUUUUCAAUGAAAGCAAGCAAUCCUGUGAUUAUGGUUCAAGCAUAUCGUCUUCUUGUAGCUGAAAUGUAUGUUCGGGGUUGGGACUAUCCUUUGCAUUUGGGAGUCACCGAAGCUGGUGAGGGUGAAGAUGGACGUAUGAAAUCCGCAAUCGGUAUCGGGACACUUCUUCAGGAUGGUCUUGGUGAUACUAUAAGAGUUUCGAUUACCGAACCUCCAGAGGAAGAAAUAGACCCGUGUAGGAAAUUAGCCAAUCUUGGUAUGGAAGCAUCCCAAAUUUCACGUAUGUACCCACUACCAAUGAAGUUCAUUGCCCACAUGUGAAGCUGUAGUGGCGCGGGUUCGACCCUUGUGGUGCCCAGAUCAUGUGGAUGGUGUGCAGAGGUAAUUUGCCGGCAUCAUAACCCUUGUGGGGUGGGAUGAUGGGUAUCCUAUGGGGUAACAGGGACAAGGUUCCUUCCUUAACCCUUUUUUUGGAUUAGGAGUUGGGUUCUUUUGCAGUUUGCAUUAGGUUCCUUGCUGAUUUGGUAAAGACGGGUCGCAUGGGUUGAUCAAAAGUCAUGUUGUCUAUAACUGUUACUACAACCAAAAGGCCAAGGGAAGCUUAUGUGUGUGGCAGAAGAUCCCUUUGUAGAUCAGUGAUCGAAAAGGGGUUGCAUAUAACCUACUGUAGCUUAGCAUUUUUUCAACAAAAGGAUCUCACAAGAAGUUAAUGGAGAUGCUCUUGGGGAGGUAAAGAGCUAGAGAUAAAGGUGUAUUGAUUACAAGAUAGGUGUGUAUUUAUAUAUAUGAGUAAUGAGUUCCAGAGGAAGGCCAUUAUUUGAUCUCAAUGAGCUUGCUACUGAGGAGGAUGAGGAGAGUGAUGGUGUGUUCUGUUUCCAUCCUCAAAGGGCUAUUCCGUCCACUACGCAUACUUCGAAUUUGUUUAACCCGUCAAAUAGUCUGCGUAGGAUAAUAAACAACCAUGUCUUUUCUCAUGCGCCUUCGCUUUCGGGCUUUCAGCAUUUUAUUCGUUCAAAAAGAGUACAGGCAUCUGAAACGGAUGAGGACCAGAAGAAGGGAAUUGGUAUAUGGUCUGUGUUUGAAAAAGAAGGUGAAUGGUCUGAUGCAGAUGGCAGUGGUAUGCCUGAAAAGUCAACUUCUGUCUCUGAUGAUGAUAAGUCAGGUGAAACCAAUGGAAGGUAUCAUCUUAGAAUUAGUUUUUGAAGUGUUUGAUUGUUUAAAUUCUAUUUUAUUUUAUUUUCUUUAUAUAUCUUCAUAUAGGUAAACAUAUUUGAGCAUGAUAAAUGUGUGAAAAAGCUUUAAGGAGGAAAAUAUGUGAUGCUUUAAUCCAUGAAUCUCUACAUGUUUUUUUAUAUAUCUUGAUGUGUUCGUUCGUUUAUUCACUUAUUAUGAGUAUCGUAUUGUUGUGUUAGUGUUUAAAUAUUUGUACUUUAACUAAUUUUUCAUUUUUUUAUUAACCAGUAAAUAUUUAAUACAAAGUAAAUUAUAAACACAAACCAUAAGCAGCCCAAUAAGUUUAUAAUCGUGCCUAUAACUUCACAACUCGUGAUUAACUUUGUGAAAAGUUUAUAACUCUUCUUAUAGCGAAGACAUUAAUUUGUCAUGUUUUUUGUAUGAUCUUAAGUGUGUAUUAAUUAUUAAUAAUAAUUAACCUAAAUAAUUUUCUCCAGCCCGGGAAGCAUUUCCCGGGUGAUAACCUAGUAUAACAUAAUUUCACUAACUUAUAUAACUUAUCCCUCUAGAUCUAGAUAUAACCUAUCCCUCUAGAUCUAGAAUUAAUCUAGAGUAACAUAGAAUUGUGUAAAUAUGGUAUCAAAGCUAGGUUAUAAACUGUCGAAGAACAAGAAACUAAAAAUACGACACAAGUUUUUCUUAAAAAAGAUCGUUCUAGUAUCAUGUUUUUAGUGGAGGCACAAUUGUCAAGGGCAUAUUCUCUUCUUAGAGCCUCUCCAGUAAGCUAUUUUUUUCAUGUUUUUAUAUGUCUACUAGGUGUAGUACCCGUGUAACCAUACAGGUAGGUUUAGUAAUGAUCGAAAUCAAAUACUAAAAAACAGAUUAUAAUAUAUCAUUUAAAUUUUGGUCUUUAUUUCUAUAUUUUUAUAAAGUAAUGUUGAAGACAGUAUGUGUGACCACACAGAUAGUUUUAAUAACCAUCGAAAUAGAUUAUAAUACAUCAUUUAAAUUGUUUGUAUUUAGUUCAUGUUUGAUAUAGAAAUUAGCUAACUAAAAAUUUCUUGUCUAAACUGAAAGCAUGACCUAAUUUUAUAUUGUCUAAUAAUUAAAACCUGACCUAAUUCAAAUAACCAAAUGUUAUUAUACAGUUCAAUAAAGCCCCUUAUAUUUGAUCCAAUUAAGCUUACUAAUGGAUUAGAUUUUGUAGGCCCGUUAAAACCCUUCUAUCAAAUAUGGAUUAGAUUUGCUAAAGACAUGUAUGAAAUGUCCUUAAUACCCUUAUCCCUUAAUAUCCCUUAAUAUUCCUUAAUACCCUUAUCCCUUAAUACCCGUAACAUAGGCAGAUUUACAUCAGAUUAUAAUAUAUCAUUUAAAUUUUGGUCUUUAGUUCUAUUUAUACUAUAUUAGACCAUAUUUUAUAGAUAAGUAUUAUUUUAGUUUAAUCUUUUCUAAUUAAUUUAUAUAUAAUCCUCCUACUAAAUAUUAUUUAGUUUAAUUUUUUGUGGAUAAUUAACUUUUAGUUUAAUCUCCUUGUCAUCAUCACACUUCCCCAAAAAUGCAACUUGACUGUUAUAAGUUGUAUGAAAUGACUAACAUCAUCACCGAUCAUUAAAAUCAUCACACUUCUCCAAAAAUCUUCAAAUAUCUCUCUCAACUCUCAACAGUCAACACAGAUCUUCAUCAUCUUCAUCCAGCUUCAUCAUCUUCAUCCAUCUUCAUCUUGAAAACAGAGAAUGGCUGUGGAUGUAAAGAUACGCAAAACACUAACUACGAAGGCGAGAACACUUGACAACCUCCUAGAAGAUAGUACGGUGCACAUAAGGAAGUGAUUGAUCAAAACGAUCAAUUGCAUAUGAAUGAAUACAACCCCAGUGGUAGAUAUGUAAUUAGCGAGCUCUGGAAUUUCAAGGAAAAUCUAAGAGCUACACUGGCGUUAUAUUCAUUCAUAUGAAUCAAUAUAACCCAAGUUGCAGAUAUGUAAUUAGGUACACUGGGGUUAUAUUCAUUCAUAUCUGCUACAUUCCGAAGUGCACCGUCAGUAAAGAUCCACAAUUGCUUGUGGUGGUAUGACGUUUUGUCUCUGUAUUGUAUGUUACAGUCUUUUGUUAUCUAGUCUGUAAGUUCCGUCAAGUCUACGAAGUUGGUAUGACGUUUUGUC
Helianthus annuus (common sunflower) is the source of this 4050-nucleotide RNA transcript. It is a transcript of the gene named 4-hydroxy-3-methylbut-2-en-1-yl diphosphate synthase (ferredoxin), chloroplastic-like, with no coding region annotated. The transcript is spliced from 8 exons. NCBI's taxonomy places the organism in Eukaryota, Viridiplantae, Streptophyta, Magnoliopsida, Asterales, Asteraceae. The record is from RefSeq and is a predicted model, not a curated record.